RNAcentral lists this ribosomal RNA (416 nucleotides) under Phenylobacterium sp. Its description in RNAcentral is "bacterial SSU rRNA". It matches the Rfam family "Bacterial small subunit ribosomal RNA", at positions 1 to 445 of the family's 1533-position model. Lineage: Bacteria; Pseudomonadati; Pseudomonadota; Alphaproteobacteria; Caulobacterales; Caulobacteraceae. The record is from RNAcentral.
CAACCUGAGAGUUUGAUCCUGGCUCAGAGCGAACGCUGGCGGCAGGCCUAAUACAUGCAAGUCGAGCGCACCUUUCGGGGUGAGCGGCGGACGGGUGAGUAACGCGUGGGAAUAUGCCCUAUGGUGCGGAACAACUGAGGGAAACUUCAGCUAAUACCGCAUGUGCCCUACGGGGGAAAGAUUUAUCGCCAUAGGAGUAGCCCGCGUUGGAUUAGUUUGUUGGUGAGGUAAUGGCUCACCAAGACUUCGAUCCAUAGCUGGUCUGAGAGGAUGAUCAGCCACACUGGGACUGAGACACGGCCCAGACUCCUACGGGAGGCAGCAGUAGGGAAUCUUGCGCAAUGGGCGAAAGCCUGACGCAGCCAUGCCGCGUGAAUGAUGAAGGUCUUAGGAUUGUAAAAUUCUUUCACCGGGGA